UACGUAGGGUGCAAGCGUUGUCCGGAAUUAUUGGGCGUAAAGAGCUCGUAGGCGGUUUGUCGCGUCGGCUGUGAAAACCUGGGGCUCAACCCCGGGCCUGCAGCCGAUACGGGCAAGCUAGAAUUCGGUAGGGGAGACUAGGAAUUCCUGGUGUAGCGGUGAAAUGCGCAGAUAAUCAGGAGGAACACCGGUGGCGAAGGCGGGUCUCUGGGCCGAUAUUGACGCUGAGGAGCGAAAGCGUGGGGAGCAAACAGG
RNAcentral lists this ribosomal RNA (255 nucleotides) under uncultured bacterium. Its description in RNAcentral is "partial 16S ribosomal RNA". It matches the Rfam family "Bacterial small subunit ribosomal RNA", at positions 524 to 776 of the family's 1533-position model. The record is from RNAcentral.